ACUUAAAUUGAAGAGUUUGAUCAUGGCUCAGAUUGAACGCUGGCGGCAGGCCUAACACAUGCAAGUCGAGCGGUAGCACAGAGAGCUUGCUCUCGGGUGACGAGCGGCGGACGGGUGAGUAAUGUCUGGGAAACUGCCUGAUGGAGGGGGAUAACUACUGGAAACGGUAGCUAAUACCGCAUAAUGUCGCAAGACCAAAGUGGGGGACCUUCGGGCCUCAUGCCAUCAGAUGUGCCCAGAUGGGAUUAGCUAGUAGGUGGGGUAACGGCUCACCUAGGCGACGAUCCCUAGCUGGUCUGAGAGGAUGACCAGCCACACUGGAACUGAGACACGGUCCAGACUCCUACGGGAGGCAGCAGUGGGGAAUAUUGCACAAUGGGCGCAAGCCUGAUGCAGCCAUGCCGCGUGUGUGAAGAAGGCCUUCGGGUUGUAAAGCACUUUCAGCGGGGAGGAAGGCGGUGAGGUUAAUAACCUCACCGAUUGACGUUACCCGCAGAAGAAGCACCGGCUAACUCCGUGCCAGCAGCCGCGGUAAUACGGAGGGUGCAAGCGUUAAUCGGAAUUACUGGGCGUAAAGCGCACGCAGGCGGUCUGUCAAGUCGGAUGUGAAAUCCCCGGGCUCAACCUGGGAACUGCAUUCGAAACUGGCAGGCUAGAGUCUUGUAGAGGGGGGUAGAAUUCCAGGUGUAGCGGUGAAAUGCGUAGAGAUCUGGAGGAAUACCGGUGGCGAAGGCGGCCCCCUGGACAAAGACUGACGCUCAGGUGCGAAAGCGUGGGGAGCAAACAGGAUUAGAUACCCUGGUAGUCCACGCCGUAAACGAUGUCGAUUUGGAGGUUGUGCCCUUGAGGCGUGGCUUCCGGAGCUAACGCGUUAAAUCGACCGCCUGGGGAGUACGGCCGCAAGGUUAAAACUCAAAUGAAUUGACGGGGGCCCGCACAAGCGGUGGAGCAUGUGGUUUAAUUCGAUGCAACGCGAAGAACCUUACCUGGUCUUGACAUCCACAGAACUUUCCAGAGAUGGAUUGGUGCCUUCGGGAACUGUGAGACAGGUGCUGCAUGGCUGUCGUCAGCUCGUGUUGUGAAAUGUUGGGUUAAGUCCCGCAACGAGCGCAACCCUUAUCCUUUGUUGCCAGCGGUUAGGCCGGGAACUCAAAGGAGACUGCCAGUGAUAAACUGGAGGAAGGUGGGGAUGACGUCAAGUCAUCAUGGCCCUUACGACCAGGGCUACACACGUGCUACAAUGGCAUAUACAAAGAGAAGCGACCUCGCGAGAGCAAGCGGACCUCAUAAAGUAUGUCGUAGUCCGGAUUGGAGUCUGCAACUCGACUCCAUGAAGUCGGAAUCGCUAGUAAUCGUAGAUCAGAAUGCUACGGUGAAUACGUUCCCGGGCCUUGUACACACCGCCCGUCACACCAUGGGAGUGGGUUGCAAAAGAAGUAGGUAGCUUAACCUUCGGGAGGGCGCUUACCACUUUGUGAUUCAUGACUGGGGUGAAGUCGUAACAAGGUAACCGUAGGGGAACCUGCGGUUGGAUCACCUCCUUACCUUAAAGAA
RNAcentral lists this ribosomal RNA (1554 nucleotides) under Klebsiella pneumoniae. Its description in RNAcentral is "bacterial SSU rRNA". It matches the Rfam family "Bacterial small subunit ribosomal RNA". The record is from RNAcentral. Lineage: Bacteria; Pseudomonadati; Pseudomonadota; Gammaproteobacteria; Enterobacterales; Enterobacteriaceae.